RNAcentral lists this ribosomal RNA (254 nucleotides) under uncultured bacterium. RNAcentral describes it as "partial 16S ribosomal RNA". It matches the Rfam family "Bacterial small subunit ribosomal RNA", at positions 524 to 776 of the family's 1533-position model. The record is from RNAcentral.
UACGGGGGGGGGCAAGCGUUGUUCGGAAUUACUGGGCGUAAAGGGCUCGUAGGUGGCCAACUAAGUCAGACGUGAAAUCCCUCGGCUUAACCGGGGAACUGCGUCUGAUACUGGAUGGCUUGAGUUUGGGAGAGGGACGCGGAAUUCCAGGUGUAGCGGUGAAAUGCGUAGAUAUCUGGAGGAACACCGGUGGCGAAGGCGGCAUCCUGGACCGGUAUUGACGCUGAGGCGCGAAAGCUAGGGGAGCAAACGGG